CAUUGCUUUGGUAUUGGGUCACCUGCUUGCAUUAAGGGACGUUGUGAGAAAUUGGUGCUUGUACAAAGGUUGUUACUGUCUCCUGAGCUCUUGCAAAGACAAAGUUUGCAACAACCAACGCUAUUGCUUCUGAGGACCUGGAGGAGAAAUUCUUCUCAGGUGUCAGCCAUAGAAGAGGCAGGCCACCUGCUAAAUGACUCACCUGCAUUUAUCUUACUGCUGGUGGGAAUUUUGUAGCUAACCCUGUUCCUCUCUUUGCUUUGUGAGCUGGAAGCUUGGGGCCAAGUUCGCGAGCCACCUCUGUCAGCAAUGAACUCUCCAGCUUCAUUUUUUUCCUACUUAAAAUUUUCAUUUUCCUGUUUCCCUCAACAACUUAGUCCAGCAUCUUGAAUUACUUGCAUUUUUGGAAGUUACAUCAAAUCCUUGGUGGACUGAGGCAAAAUAUAAAGGAAAUAUGGAGAAAACAGGGAAAUUAUCCUGAACUAUUUGGGUGAGCCGAAUGUAAUCACAAGAGUCCUUAAAAGUAGAAGAGAGAACCAGAGAGACGCAGCUCGAGAAUCCAGGACUCUACAACCCGGCCUAACUUUCCCAUCUCUUCUAUCUCUAACCCCUUCACCACCCCUAUUUCCCUCCUCCCUCUCCCCCUGCAAUGCCCACUGGACUGCUUGGCCUGGAGUUCUCAUGCUUCAGGCACUGGAAUGCUAGCCUUCAGCCUGCCAUGUCCUGUCCCUCCCUGACUCCUCCCCCAACCUGUCCACCUGCUGAUCUCCUACUCAUCAAUAAAGACCCAACUCAAUGGUCACCUCCUCCCAGGAGCCCUCCUCAAUUCCACUCCUGUCCUGCCCGCUGCUCUGCGUCAGACAGGAAAGGCCCCUGGCUGAGAACACUCAUGCAGUAGGUUGUUACAUCAGCAUUGAGAGUUUGUUUUUCUACAGCUCCCCCCCGGAACCAACAUUUUGAAGGCAAACAGUCUUGGUCACCUUUGCCUCCCCAGUGCCUAGCUCUUAGUAAAUGCUCUCCUAGUAGAAUGAAAUGGAACAAAAACACAAGGACACAACCACAUUGCCCACACUGGCAGGUCUUUCACCAUCUGUAAAAAUCCUGUGUCGACAAAUUGGAGGCAGCACAGGGUCAAGAGGCUGGCUCUGCCACCAGCUCACCUGGACUCCCUCCAGCUCUGCCGCCACCAGCCAUGUGGCUGUGGACAAGUUUUUGGAUGUCUCUCUGCAUCCCUUUCCUGACUAUAAAACUAGGAGUCAGGUAGAAAGCAUCUACAUUUCAGAGCUCCCAGGAGAAAAUGCCAAGACUAAGCACUCAAUAAUUCUAUGUUAGUAUUUACUUAUUACCUAUUAAAAGAAGCCUCCAUUUUCACCAAAGUCUAAAAAUGACACGAGUUUCAGCUUUUACUACUAAUGGAGAAAAAUUCUUUUGCGACCAUAAAGGCCUGAUGGCUUGCCAAGGUGCAUCUACCUUUUUUAGGUCUUCUUCUCUCCCAGCACACCUUCCAGCCUUCAACGGUCCUGUCUUUGGAUGAAGUUUGCUUCACAUGUGGAGAUUACUGGAAUGUGAUUCUUACGGAGUCAGAGAGCAGCCAGCACACCACUCUUGAAAUCAAAAAGCUUGAAGGGCAAGCAGGGUCCAAGCCGAAGUUUGCAGAAAAAUCACCAAGGAAAUGUGCUAACACACACCUGGAGCUCACCCACCCCCCCCCCCAUACCUCUGAUUCCAUGGCAUCAACAAGACCCACCCCCACGCAGUGCGGAUGCAGGGAGCGCCUUUAGAGAAAGCCUGGAUGGUGAUCCUGAAGUCCUUUCUUGCUGGAUGCCUCAACAGAACUCCUGCGGGAACGCUGUAUGAAUUUCUGGCUCAACACUGACGAAUUCCAACUCCCCCACCCCACCCCCAACCUACAGAGGACCGCACGUGCCUUUGCCAGCCACAUCCAUUCCCCUCCUUCUGCAAUAGCAGCCACACUUGGCCUUUGGGACAUAGCACACAGUGAUGGUGGCAUUGUCAGUCGAGGUCCCCGGCCCCACUGCCCAGUCAGCUGGUGCUGCUCCCUGCAGAGGCCACCCAUUCACCCCUGCUCCCCAGUCGGCGCAGCAGCCCCUCUCAGGCUGGGUUCUUCAGCUUUCCAUCUGUCUGUGAGCUGCCCCCAACCCUUCUUGCAAAUUCCUUUCUUGGUUUUAUGCCAGCUGAUGUUAGUUUCCAUUGCUUGCAAACACCUGAAUGGCUGCUCUGUCUGUGACCUGGUCCCUAGAUGAGGCGCCAAGGGAAGGAAUGUAACAGAUGUUGGCCAAGAGGGUUUCCCAGGAAGGGCUGCCUCCAAAAUAGGAACGAAAGAAAAACUGUGUCAUGUUCUGGGUUUCUACAAUAACAGCUAUCAAUAUUCAAGCUGCUUCCGGAUGAUUUAACAUGAAAGAGCAGCCCUCGAAGGCAGAGACCUGCCUCUUGUGAGCAGCAUUUUAAGAGGAUGAAAAGCAUCCGAGAGCCUGAGUGACAUGAGGGGCCCUGGGCCGCGCUGCUCAAGCGGCAGCAAGAGAAAUGUGGGAAAUAUAAAAAGCAGCAAAUUCUUCUCUGUGGGGUCCUGGGCCAGAUCUUCUGUAGGCACUCGGCGCAUUGGAGACCCAGGAACCUUUCUGGGGUUUAGAUUUUGUGUCCGGCAGGUCGAUGCCCACUUGGUGACUGCAGGAGGGACCCAGGAUGGAGGAGACCGGGCUGCAGACUCCAGCAGAAAGAAAAUGAUCCCACAGAAAAAGAAAGAAUUGCAGGGAAAAACAAAGACUAAUGGAAAAUUUCCCUCUUUGGUUGGAUGCACUUGGUUGCCACCAGUUCCAGUGACAGCUUCAGGGCCCAUUCCAACUGCUUCUUACUAGUGAAUGUCAGCUCUGUAAAAGCAAGGACUUUCCUUUGAUCACUUCAUCUCCAGCACCAAGAACAGUGCCUGGCAUGUUGAAGGCAUUCGAUAAAUAUUGUUGAAUUGAUGAAUAAAUGCAUUUUUAUGAAUUAUUCCACACAUUUAUGAAUUUUUCAGUAAUUAUUCAAUAC
Molecule: long non-coding RNA, 3048 nt
Organism: Equus asinus (donkey)
Lineage: Eukaryota; Metazoa; Chordata; Mammalia; Perissodactyla; Equidae
Source: Ensembl